Molecule: ribosomal RNA, 422 nt
Filed under: uncultured bacterium
Lineage: Bacteria
Description: partial 16S ribosomal RNA
Rfam family: Bacterial small subunit ribosomal RNA
Source: RNAcentral
AAUUUUGGACAAUGGGGGAAACCCUGAUCCAGCCAUCCCGCGCGUAAGAUGAAGGCCUUCGGGUUGUAAAGUACUUUGGGCAGAGAAGAAAAGGUAUCUCCUAAUACGAGAUACUGCUGACGGUAUCUGCCGAAUAAGCACCUGCUAACUACGUGCCAGCAGCCUCGGUAAUACCGAGGGUGCAAACGUUAAUCGGAAUUACUGGACGUAAAGCGUGUGUAGGCGGUUCGGAAAGAAAGAUGUGAAAUCCCAGGGCUCAACCUUGGAACUGCAUUUUUAACUGCCGAGCUAGAGUAUGUCAGAGGGGGGUAGAAUUCCACGUGUAGCAGUGAAAUGCGUAGAUAUGUGGAGGAAUACCGAUGGCGAAGGCAGCCCCCUGGGAUAAUACUGACGCUCAGACACGAAAGCGUGGGGAGCAAACA